This 432-nucleotide ribosomal RNA is filed under the name bacterium. RNAcentral describes it as "bacterial SSU rRNA". It matches the Rfam family "Bacterial small subunit ribosomal RNA", at positions 29 to 467 of the family's 1533-position model. The record is from RNAcentral.
AACGAUCGUUAGCGAGAUGUUUUAAGCAUGCAAGUCGAGCGGCAGCACUUCGGGUGGCGAGCGGCAAACGGGUGAGUAAUAGUUAGUUUAUCUGCCUUUUAGACUGGGAUAGUUACUAGAAAUAGUAGGUAAUACCGGAUACAGAGAUAUGUAAAAAUAUCUUGAAAGGUGCGUUGGCAUCACUAGAAGAUGAGACUAACUCCUAUUAGUUUGUUGGUGGGGUAAUAGCCUACCAAGGCGAUGAUAGGUAGCCGGCCUGAGAGGGUGAUCGGCCACAUUGGGACUGAGAUACGGCCCAGACUCCUACGGGAGGCAGCAGCUAAGAAUAUUCCGCAAUGGGCUAACGCCUGACGGAGCAAUCUCGCAUGGAUGAUGAAGGUUCUUGGAUUGUAAAAUCCUUUCGGCGAUCAAGAAUAAGUUGAUAGGGAAAAU